AGGUUAUAUGAAAGGAGAGAAGGUUAGCACUCCCUUGACAAGAGGCCCUCGGGCAUGACAACAUACAUAUAGUUAAAGCACUGCCACCUUCUUCAUGGGGUCUAACCUCUGUUU
Cavia porcellus (domestic guinea pig) is the source of this 114-nucleotide small nuclear RNA. The record is from Ensembl. Lineage: Eukaryota; Metazoa; Chordata; Mammalia; Rodentia; Caviidae.